RNAcentral lists this ribosomal RNA (460 nucleotides) under uncultured bacterium. RNAcentral's name for it is "partial 16S ribosomal RNA". It matches the Rfam family "Bacterial small subunit ribosomal RNA", at positions 338 to 795 of the family's 1533-position model. The record is from RNAcentral.
CCUACGGGUGGCAGCAGUGAGGAAUAUUGGUCAAUGGACGCGAGUCUGAACCAGCCAAGUCGCGUGAAGGAUGACUGCUCUAUGGGUUGUAAACUUCUUUUAUACAAGAGUAAAGUCAGGAACGUGUGUCUUUCUGUAUGUACUUUAUGAAUAAGGAUCGGCUAACUCCGUGCCAGCAGCCGCGGUAAUACGGAGGAUCCGAGCGUUAUCCGGAUUUAUUGGGUUUAAAGGGUGCGUAGAUGGGUGGUUAAGUUAGUGGUGAAAGCUCGCGGCUCAACCGUAGAAUUGCCAUUGAUACUGGUAGUCUAGAGAGCAGUUGCGGUAGGCGGAAUGCAUGGUGUAGCGGUGAAAUGCUUAGAUAUCAUGAAGAACACCGAUUGCGAAGGCAGCUUACUAAGCUACCACUGACAUUGAUGCACGAAAGCGUGGGUAGCAAACAGGAUUAGAUACCCUUGUAGUC